GUGCUCACUUCAGCAGCACAUAUACUAAGACUGGAACGAUACAGAGAAGAUUAGCAUGGCCCUCAUGCAAGGAUGAGACAAAAAUUCGUGAAGUGCUGCAUACUUUU
Heterocephalus glaber (naked mole-rat) is the source of this 107-nucleotide small nuclear RNA. NCBI's taxonomy places the organism in Eukaryota, Metazoa, Chordata, Mammalia, Rodentia, Bathyergidae. The record is from Ensembl.